GAAAUUCUAGUCAUCUAUACAAUAAAAUACUAAUAUGGAAGAUAUAUGAACCCAUACCCUUCCUAUAUGUGCAAGUGUGUCAAAUUUAUCUUCAAAUUGCGUAGAAUCUAAAGCCUAUCCUCUGAUACCAACUGUAACACCCCAGGUUCCACAAACAACCCAGAAUGCUACUGAACUACACUUCUGACGUCCAUAUAUAAAAUUUCGGCAGCAUCCCCUUUGCAAGAUUGCAUAAAUAAGGGGGCAACAGGUUAUAAACAUAUAUCAUGACCAAAAACAUACUAAGUAUUAUUAAUCGGCUAGCAAGGGAAGAUAAACGUACGACCUGAACUGAAUUAAUCAGUGUGCACGUCUAUAUAAAAAACAAACUUCCCUUGACAAUAAGUUUCUAAUUAAAUCAUGGCUGCGCCUGGGCAGCGUUAUUGUGAGAGUGUAAGUGGACGUGCUGCUACUCCCCUCAUUCCCAACAUGUAUCAAGUACCUGCAUUGAGUAAUGCAAGAGUGAGAUGACAUAUCUCAGCAAGUAAAAUAUUAUCAAACUAUUCAACCACAUAAGAACAUUGUUUUACCACCACCUGAUUCCACCACCUUCUUAUUACCAAGAUGCAGCACGUAUACAACGUACAACACACCUAGUUACCACACCUCGCAGGUAGAAACCACAAUAGUAACAUAGUAAUGUCACACUUCAUAUAUUCCUCAUGAAUGCAAAUGUCUGCAAAUGCAAGGAUGACUUCUGCCUUCAUACCUCUAAGGAUAUGAAGCCGCAUCGUACCCCUCCUCGGGCAACAUACGAUGCUAAAAAAAUGUACCGGUACGGUCGGACCAUAAGAUCACGACAUAACUUCAAAAUGCAAGAUGGAUGAUGCGAUGUGCAUGUCAUGCCUACAACACUUCAUAUAACGUGAUUCAAAAAGACACUUCAACUUCAUCCAAGAUGGGAAUCAACCACAUAUAUCAUAACCAAAUUAUGAUCAUCCACAAUAUUAGACAAUUGAGAAUUAAUACUUCCAAACAAAUAAACUUCAUCAUAGAAUUCAAUGAUUAACAUAAUUAAAAACUUAUGCAUACUCAAUGACAGGGAAUAGGAUGCAAACCAAACGGUAGCAACCACCACUAUAUUUACUUGCCUUUACCGGAAGUUCGGGCAAAUCCCUAAGUACGAUCCGGAAGUCCACCACCUGUUUUUGACACACAACUUAGUGCACCAAUUUCACAUAACCAGGCUCAUAAACGACGCCGCACCUACGCACAAACUCAAACCCCGCCACGGGUUACAUCUCUCCCCACACCCACCAAACUGUAGCGGCGCUGCUUAAUAAUUUCAUAACUUCAAAAUUAUGACAGCAUUGGUAACAAACAAAAACUCCAGAGGCAUCUACAUAAAAUUCCCCACAAGUUUUGUAUACAAUUUAUAAUUAAAUUCCAACAUCUAAUUAGCCCAAAACAGUUCACAAGUUGAACCCUGUAAUCUGUUUUUUUCUCUUUUGGACAGCGACAUACCCGGAUUCAAACAGCGAUAUCUUUUAAAAUAUAAUUCCAAUUCAAGCGCAUAAGUACUCAUUGGAAAGAUAGGACAAAGCCAUACAUGAUUAUCAUACUGGUUAGCACUAAUUAACCACGAAAAAUUCCCAGAAACUGCUAAUACUACUGCUGUUCACCCACCUGAAAAAUCUGUUUUUUUGGACAGCAACAUACCCGGAUUUAAACGACGAUAUCUCCUAAAUUAUAACUCCGAAUCGAGCGCAUAAGUACUCGUUGGAAAGGUAUGACAAAGCUCUACAUGAUUAUCCCACGGAUUCCCACUAAUUACUUCACGAAAAUUCCCAGAAACUGCUAAUACUACUGCUGUUCACCCACCUGAAAAAUCUGUUUUUUUGGACAGCAACAUACCCGGAUUCAAACGACGAUAUCUCCUAAAUUAUAACUCCGAAUCGAGCGCAUAAGUACUCGUUGGAAAGGUAUGACAAAGCUCUACAUGAUUAUCCCACUGAUUCCCACUAAUUACCCCACGAAAAUUCCCAGAAACUGCUAAUACUACUGCUGUUCACCUACCUGAAAAAUCUGUUUUUUUGGACAGCAACAUACCCGGAUUCAAACGACGAUAUCUCCUAAAUUAUAACUCCGAAUCGAGCGCAUAAGUACUCGUUGGAAAGGUAUGACAAAGCUCUACAUGAUUAUCCCACUGAUUCCCACUAAUUACCCCACGAAAAUUCCCAGAAAUCCCUAGAACUACUGCUGUUCACCCACUCACAAAAUUCCUGGACAGCACCUCUACCGAUUCGCAAAGAUAAACACAUAAUCCAAUUGAUUGCAGCACAAAAACAACAAAAGUUAAUCACAAAUUCACCUUAGGUUCUUCCCUUACUCCUUCCUUCUUCCUCCCUCCAAACUCCAAUUAAGAUCGCAGCCACACGACGGAGAACCACACGGGAGGGCUGCACCUUGGGAGGAGGGGAAGAAAUGGGGGGGCAGCUAGGGUUUUGGGUGGUGAGGGCUGCAAAUGUUUGAGGAGGAAGAAGAUGUGAGAGGGGGGGGCGUCCAAGAGAAAGAGGAGGGGAAGCGGCGGCUGCAACAACAAAAG
This 2584-nucleotide long non-coding RNA is filed under the name Zea mays. RNAcentral describes it as "long non-coding RNA (ZMAY_LNC001076)". The record is from RNAcentral. Lineage: Eukaryota; Viridiplantae; Streptophyta; Magnoliopsida; Poales; Poaceae.